GAUGAAGAACGCAGCGAAAUGCGAUAAGUAGUGUGAAUUGCAGAAUUCAGUGAAUCAUCGAAUCUUUGAACGCACAUUGCGCCCUUUGGUAUUCCAAAGGGCAUGCCUGUUCGAGCGUCAUUUGUACCCUCAAGCUUUGCUUGGUGUUGGGCGUCUUGUCUCUAGCUUUGCUGGAGACUCGCCUUAAAGUAAUUGGCAGCCGGCCUACUGGUUUCGGAGCGCAGCACAAGUCGCACUCUCUAUCAGCAAAGGUCUAGCAUCCAUUAAGCCUUUUUUUCAACUUUUAACCUCGGAUCAGGUAGGGAUACCCGCUGAACUUAAGCAUAUCAAUAAGCGGAGGA
Molecule: unclassified non-coding RNA, 341 nt
Filed under: soil metagenome
Description: partial contains 5.8S ribosomal RNA, internal transcribed spacer 2, and large subunit ribosomal RNA
Rfam family: 5.8S ribosomal RNA (bases 1-120)
Source: RNAcentral